AGGUUUCCCGGCCCAUAGUGUCCUGGGACCGUCUGCUCUGGACACCUUUGGCCAUCUCUGCUUGUGCUAUCUAGCAUUUAUACAGAAAGAAACAUCUAACAUCUAGAGUAGGUUCCUUCCAUUCCUCCUUUCAGCUUAUAUUCCUCUUCCAGCAAUGUGGGGUGAUUUCUGAACACACCAAGAAGAUGUGCACAAGGUCCCUGCGCUGCCCACAGCACACAGAUGAGCAGAGGCGAACCGUACGGAUUUAUUUUCUCGGGCCCUCGGCUGUCCUUCCAGAGGUCGAGAGCUCCCUGGAUAAUGACAGCUUUGACAUGACUGACAGCCAGGCCCUGAUCAGCCGGCUUCAGUGGGACGGCUCCUCUGACCUCUCACCCUCUGAUUCAGGCUCCUCCAAGACGAGUGAAAAUCAGGGAUGGGGUCUAGGUACCAACAGCUCUGAGUCACGGAAAACCAAGAAAAAGAAA
This 467-nucleotide small RNA is filed under the name Pan troglodytes (chimpanzee). RNAcentral's name for it is "retained intron". The record is from RNAcentral. Lineage: Eukaryota; Metazoa; Chordata; Mammalia; Primates; Hominidae.